CCGGUUGAUCCUGCCAGAGGUUACUGCUAUCGAGAUUCGACUAAGCCAUGCGAGUUGAAUGUUCUUCGUGAACAUGGCGGACUGCUCAGUAACACGUGGACAACCUACCCUUCGGUCCGGCAUAAUCCUGGGAAACUGGGGAUAAUUCCGGAUAGGUCACAGAUGCUGGAAUGCUCUGCGACUCAAAGCUCCGGCGCCGAAGGAUGGGUCUGCGGCCUAUCAGGGUUGUAGUGGGUGUAACGUACCUACUAGCCUACGACGGGUACGGGUUGUGAGAGCAAGAGCCCGGAGAUGGAUUCUGAGACACGAAUCCAGGCCCUACGGGGUGCAGCAGGCGCGAAAACUUUACAAUGCGGGAAACCGUGAUAAGGGAAUCUCGAGUGCCAGCAUAUAAUGUUGGCUGUCCAGAUGCCUAAAAAGCAUCUGUUAGCAAGGGCCGGGCAAGACCGGUGCCAGCAGCCGCGGUAAUAC
This 471-nucleotide ribosomal RNA is filed under the name uncultured Methanosaeta sp. RNAcentral's name for it is "bacterial SSU rRNA". It matches the Rfam family "Archaeal small subunit ribosomal RNA", at positions 4 to 476 of the family's 1478-position model. Lineage: Archaea; Methanobacteriati; Methanobacteriota; Methanomicrobia; Methanotrichales; Methanotrichaceae. The record is from RNAcentral.